This 79-nucleotide transfer RNA is filed under the name Jaapia argillacea MUCL 33604. RNAcentral describes it as "tRNA-Leu (CAG) (tRNA-Leu-CAG-1-1)". It matches the Rfam family "tRNA". Rfam says of the family: Transfer RNA (tRNA) molecules are approximately 80 nucleotides in length. The record is from RNAcentral. Lineage: Eukaryota; Fungi; Basidiomycota; Agaricomycetes; Jaapiales; Jaapiaceae.
GGUGGGAUGGCCGAGCGGUUAAGGCGCUAGUUUCAGGUACUAGUCCGAAAGGGCGUGGGUUCGAAUCCCACUUCCAUCA